RNAcentral lists this ribosomal RNA (234 nucleotides) under uncultured bacterium. RNAcentral describes it as "partial 16S ribosomal RNA". It matches the Rfam family "Bacterial small subunit ribosomal RNA", at positions 102 to 334 of the family's 1533-position model. The record is from RNAcentral.
UGGCGACGGGUGAGUAAUGUCUGGGAAACUGCCUGAUGGAGGGGGAUAACUACUGGAAACGGUAGCUAAUACCGCAUAACGUCGCAAGACCAAAGAGGGGGACCUUAGGGCCUCUUGCCAUCGGAUGUGCCCAGAUGGGAUUAGCUAGUAGGUGGGGUAACGGCUCACCUAGGCGACGAUCCCUAGCUGGUCUGAGAGGAUGACCAGCCACACUGGAACUGGGACACGGUCCAG